This 216-nucleotide long non-coding RNA is filed under the name Vigna radiata. RNAcentral describes it as "long non-coding RNA (VRAD_LNC007635)". The record is from RNAcentral. Lineage: Eukaryota; Viridiplantae; Streptophyta; Magnoliopsida; Fabales; Fabaceae.
GGAAACAAACAUAUAUAUAGCAUGAUAAUAAUAAUUAUUGGUAUUAAUUAUUACAUCAUGCUGGAACCUUUUCCGUGGGUGGCAACCCAAUAAUUGAAAAGAAAAAAAUAAAGAGAGAGAAGCACGUUUAUUAUAAUUUAUUAUUAAUAUCCGCAUAAAAGAGUAGUGCAAAUUCAAUUGGCUGUCGCUAACUAUAGUUCACAAGAUGGACCCGGC